CUUCAAAAACUCAAAACACCAAAGUUGUAUAUCUUGACAAGAUCUACAACUUUGCUUUUGAACUCAACUUCAAAUUUUGCUUAGUUUUUAAAUUACACAAAAGGGGCAAAUCUAAAGUUUUUGAAAUUAGGGUUUCCCCCCUUUAAGCUUCUCGGAAAACUUUUACCCAACGAUUUUAAACUCCAAAACAAGCACCCAUACAUAAAAUAAACACACUUAAAUUCCUAAACACAUUCAUCCAAAAUAAACUUAUUUUAGGUUAAUGCAUUAGUGUGUGCUUAACAUAUUUUUGAUGCAAUGCUCAUGAUGACAUGUCCCAUUUUUAGUUCGCUUAACACGAGAGUGUUACACUUUCUAAGGCCAGGACGUUCACAUAUCACAAAAGGCAGCUCAUCCUCUAUUAUCAUCUCAGCUAAAGACUUCCUAAUCUCAUCAGGAUCAAAUUUCCAAGUAGACAAAGUACCACUACUAUUACCAGCAGAUGGUUGUAGUUGUAAAGUACCUUGAUUAUCUACUACAGGUUUGUGAGGAUUCUUUUUGCAGAUUUUUAGAUGAGACUUCAUGGAGGACGUACCAUUUAACUUUGUGUCGCAGCGGAAUAAUUUGCUGCAGUACUUGCACUUGCCUCUCUCCUCCCCAUUAUCAAUUUUGAUCUUGCUGAAGUGCUCCCAAACAUCUGAUCUUGGAUUAAUGGCUUUUCUUUUCUUGCUUUCAGUUUCAUCUACCACUGAAUCUCCAUCCUUGGGAUCUUGUUCCUUAUCAUUAUUCUCCAGAUUGUCAUUAUUCUCCAGAUUUAUAACUUCAUGAUCACGGUCAUGGUCAUUCAGUCGAGGUGUAUCUGCAAUAGUUUCUUCAGUGUCCCCCAUCUACAAGAUUUAAAAAAACAGCAUCCCAUCAGGCCAUCAGAAACUAGUGAACUACUACUGCCAAGUUACCAAGUAAACCAGAGAUACUUGAUUCAGGAGUCGCCCAGUCGCCUGCGAGGAGAUCCUCCGGUCCUCCCGAGUCCCGACCUCCGCCACGCCACCGCCGCGACCCGCGAGGUCUAGGCGCGCGCCUGCGAGGAGAUCCAACGGAGUCGCCCAGUCGCCGCCAGUCGCGCGUGUUGGCCAGGGGAUGAGAGCAAAGAGGAGUCAGGAGUGGAUCAGAGGGAGUUGCCCAGUCACGCGAUUUGGCCGGGGGAUGAGAGGAGUGGAUCGGAGCGGAGGGAGUCGCGGCGGCUAGGGUUUCAGAGGGAGUUGCGCCGUCGUGUCGUGCGGUCUGCGGUGUCGAGGGUCGAGGCCGAGGGGAGGGGUCGAGGGGAUGAGAGAUGAGAGUGGGAGAGAGCUGAGCGCAGCGGUCGUGGCCUCGUGGGCCUGAUGACUGGGCCGAGACGCCGAGUGGUUGAGUGGAGUGGGGACGUCGGGACGAUUUCCAUUCCUGGUUCAACUUCGGUUCCUCGGAUGUUCGGCUCGGUUUGGUACUGAAACCGAAGCCGAAGCCGAACACCGAACUUCUCAGAAUUGGAAACCGACACCGAACCGAAAAAUCGAAAAAUCGACUAUUCGGCUCGGUUUCGGUUCGGUUCGGUUCGGUGUUCGGUUUUCGGUUGAAAAGUGCCCAGGCUGACUUCUAAUACAUGUGAGCACCGAGUAAAUUUGUAUAAUAUAGAAGAAUGUUUGGAAAACACGAUGUGCUAUGCCUAAACACCCGCUGAAAAUGGACAUCCUGAUUCGGAGCAACUUCAGCACUAGCUUUCGAUAUAGAUCCUUACUUUUGCUUGAGGACUUUACGUAUUUUUGAUGGUCUUGAUUUUUGGCUGCACUCCAGCAGUGGUUCUCAAAUGAGGGCCCUCAAAUUCAUUCUAGUAAAGAAUGACACAUGGGACCCACUUGUCAUCGUUUUUUCUUAUUUUCUUUCUCAUUGACUAAAUUGCCCUAUAGAAAAGCUAGAAAAGUAGAGAAGAAAGGCUCGCUGGAGAGGAACUGUUGGUGAUCUCGCCAAAUCCAGGAGGUGGGUGGUGGGUGGCAGACGACAUCAGGUGAAGGUGGUCCAUCGGGUAAGCCCGAAUCCAACCACCAUGGCCCCCGUGGCGCUCCCACAGAUGAGCUCGGCCAUAGGUAGACACCACAUGUGAUGGUCCUCGGCCCCAGCUGUUGUGAGCAAGGUGCGGGCAAGUAGUGUCACAUCGGCUAGAGGAGGAGGUUCGCCGAUGAUGGGAAAUUGGAGGACAAGGUCCAGCAGCGGAUCGUGCUCAAACAAGAGGGACCAAUGACCCCAAUAGAAAUAUGGGAACCUCCUCCAGGGCCCAUGGGAAUGGGGGCUUAGGAAGGAUUUGAGGGCUUUGUGAGGGUCGUAGAAGGGGAUUUGCUAGACCUCGUUUUUUGCCUCAAGUCCUCAAAUUUACUUGUGACGGCUCAAGUAGGGCUCUUAUAGAGUUGUCCUUACAAGCUAAAGAAAUAACCCCAAUGAGCUAAAGAGCACUAGUUUA
Sorghum bicolor (sorghum) is the source of this 2470-nucleotide long non-coding RNA. RefSeq lists it as uncharacterized. NCBI's taxonomy places the organism in Eukaryota, Viridiplantae, Streptophyta, Magnoliopsida, Poales, Poaceae. The record is from RefSeq and is a predicted model, not a curated record. The transcript is spliced from 2 exons.